This 330-nucleotide ribosomal RNA is filed under the name uncultured eukaryote. RNAcentral's name for it is "partial 18S ribosomal RNA". It matches the Rfam family "Eukaryotic small subunit ribosomal RNA", at positions 1470 to 1796 of the family's 1831-position model. The record is from RNAcentral.
CCCUUAGAUGUUCUGGGCCGCACGCGUGCUACACUGAUGCAUUCAACGAGUCUAAAACCUGGUCUGAUAGGGCUGGGUAAUCUUUUGAAAGUGCAUCGUGAUUGGGAUAGAUGAUUGCAAUUCUUCAUCUUCAACGAGGAAUGCCUAGUAAACGCAAGUCAUCAGCUUGCAUUGAUUACGUCCCUGCCCUUUGUACACACCGCCCGUCGCUCCUACCGAUUGAAUGAUCCGAUGAAUACCAUGGAUUGAGAGUACGAAUAGGUUCGCCUAUUUCUGCUGCUCGAGAAGUGGAGUAAAUCUUAUCAUUUAGAGGAAGGAGAAGUCGUAACA